RNAcentral lists this ribosomal RNA (274 nucleotides) under uncultured bacterium. RNAcentral's name for it is "partial 16S ribosomal RNA". It matches the Rfam family "Bacterial small subunit ribosomal RNA", at positions 84 to 354 of the family's 1533-position model. The record is from RNAcentral.
CCCGCCGGCGACCGGCGCACGGGCGAGUAACACGUAUGAAACCUGCCCGUAGCAGGGGGAUAAGCGGAAGAAAUUCCGUCUAAUACCGCGUAACAACCCAUGGAGGCAUCUCUGUGGGUUUAAAGGAAGCGAUUCCGGCUACGGAUGGUCAUGCGUCGCAUUAGCUUGUUGGCGGGGUAACGGCCCACCAAGGCGACGAUGCGUAGGGGUUCUGAGAGGAAGGUCCCCCACACUGGUACUGAGACACGGACCAGACUCCUACGGAAGGCAGCAG